AGAGUUUGAUCAUGGCUCAGGAUGAACGCUGACGGCGUGCUUAACACAUGCAAGUCGAGCGAAGCACUUAUGAAAGAUUCUUCGGAUGAUUCCAUUUGUGACUGAGCGGCGGACGGGUGAGUAACGCGUGGGUAACCUGCCUCAUACAGGGGGAUAACAGUUGGAAACGACUGCUAAUACCGCAUAAGCGCACAGUACCGCAUGGUACAGUGUGAAAAACUCCGGUGGUAUGAGAUGGACCCGCGUCUGAUUAGCUAGUUGGUGGGGUAACGGCCUACCAAGGCGACGAUCAGUAGCCGACCUGAGAGGGUGACCGGCCACAUUGGGACUGAGACACGGCCCAAACUCCUACGGGGCGCAGCAG
Molecule: ribosomal RNA, 364 nt
Filed under: uncultured bacterium
Lineage: Bacteria
Description: bacterial SSU rRNA
Rfam family: Bacterial small subunit ribosomal RNA
Source: RNAcentral